This 253-nucleotide ribosomal RNA is filed under the name uncultured bacterium. RNAcentral describes it as "partial 16S ribosomal RNA". It matches the Rfam family "Bacterial small subunit ribosomal RNA", at positions 524 to 776 of the family's 1533-position model. The record is from RNAcentral.
UACGUAGGGUGCAAGCGUUGUCCGGAAUUAUUGGGCGUAAAGAGCUCGUAGGCGGUUUGUCGCGUCGAAUGUGAAAACCCGGGGCUCAACCCCGGGCUUGCGGUCGAUACGGGCAGGCUGGAGUUCGGUAGGGGAGACUGGAAUUCCUGGUGUAGCGGUGAAAUGCGCAGAUAUCAGGAGGAACACCGGUGGCGAAGGCGGGUCUCUGGGCCGAUACUGACGCUGAGGAGCGAAAGCGUGGGGAGCGAACAGG